AUAGUGGAGUUCAUCAGUGUUGUUUUGCUGCCUUCUCACUCCUCAGCACCAGUUUUGUUUAUAAUGCAGCUUGUUUGUGUCCCCUUGUGCCCAGCAGUGAGACUCAAUGAAAACCAGAGGAGUUUGGCAGCAGGAGGAAAUUGAAUAGUUGGUCGAGGUGUAUUUGUGUGAAAUCCUUCCAGUGCUCCAGUCGUGUUUGGUAGACGCGCGCUUCAAGUUGACGCUCCUCACCCCCCACUCACCCUCUGAUACGUGAAAUGGCACCAUGGAUAGCGAAUGAUGAAAUAUAAUAACCUUUUGUGCUGAAACCGAAGACUCCACUCCCGGUUGGGACACACUGGCUCAGGAAAAAUACUCUUUAUAAAUCGACCAAUCCUCUUUGUGGCCUUUGAAAACGGUCGCGGUGAGAGAAGGAAGCGUUUGUGAAUAUGGCGCUUUGAUGUAGCGUGAGUGACCUGUGAGGGACAGUGCGGCGCCUUCCAGACUCGCCAGACUGUACAAUAAACCACCAGACAUCGACAUCGUGCUUCCCCCAUUAGCUUCACCUGAACUUCGGUAUCGCCCAUCUAAAAGCCCACCCGCUAGGAAACCGC
Molecule: long non-coding RNA, 593 nt
Organism: Portunus trituberculatus (swimming crab)
Lineage: Eukaryota; Metazoa; Arthropoda; Malacostraca; Decapoda; Portunidae
Exons: 5
Source: RefSeq, a predicted model, not a curated record